Loxodonta africana (African savanna elephant) is the source of this 2190-nucleotide long non-coding RNA. RefSeq lists it as uncharacterized. The record is from RefSeq and is a predicted model, not a curated record. NCBI's taxonomy places the organism in Eukaryota, Metazoa, Chordata, Mammalia, Proboscidea, Elephantidae. The transcript is spliced from 2 exons.
UAGAUCUGUUCCAGUCCAUAGGCCAGGAAGCUAUCUUCCAAAUUUCUUGGCAGAUGGGUGAGCACCUCCAAUGCUGCAUCUGUUUGCUGAAUCAUUUCAAUUGGUAUUGCAUCAAUUCUGGAGCCUGGCUUUUUGCCAUUCCCUUCAGUGCAGCUGAGACUUCUUCCUUCAGUUCUUGAUCAUAUGCUACCUCCUAAAAUGGUUAAACAUCAACGAAUUCUUUUUUGUACAGCGACUUUGUGUAUUCUUUCCACCUUCUUUGGAUGCUUCCUGCAUUGUUCAAUAUUUUGCCCAUAAAUUUUAGAAUGCUUCAAUAUGGAAAAUCAAGGUUUGAAUUUUUUCUUCGCUUAUCUCAUCUUGAGAACUGCCUAGUGUGAUCUUCUAUUUUGAUCUUCUAACUCCAGCUAUAGUCAAUUUGAUUCCUGUUCAUCUCAUUUUUUGAGGUACAUCCUGAAGUACAAUGGUAUCAGUGACUGGAUAAUAUCCAUAUGCUUAAAAGGAACACCAGUUGAUACGACUAUUAUUCAAAUUUAUGCACCAAUCACUAAUGCCAAAGAUGAGGAAAUUGAAGAUUUUUAUCAACUUCUGCAGUCUGAAAUUGACCAAACAUCAAUCAACAUGCAUUGAUCGUUACCAGUGAUUGGAAUGCCAAAGUUGGAAACGAAGAAGGAUCGGUAGUUGGAAAAUAGGUACUUCGUGAUAGAAAUGACACCGGAGAUUACAUGACAAAUUUUGAAGGUCAAUGUCAUCUUCAUUGCAAAUACCUUUUUUCAACAACAUAAAUGGCAAAUAGCUAAUGUAGUGGCGUGAAAUAAAAAUUACAACUGGAAUGUCACGGUACAAAUUCUAAGAAAAAGAGAAACUCAACUUCCCCAGACAGAAGAACUUUAUUGGCAUAGAUUUUUUGUCUUUGUUUUUUUUUCUUUAAUAUGAAAAUGUGUACUUUAGUUUACCCCAAAUAUGACAAAACCCAUUAAAAACCAUGUUAAAUCCUGCAUUCUCCAGAUAUUACAUUCUUGUGUAGUAUAAAUGCCAGGUAUAAAAGAAGAAUAAACAGUGAUUCUUACAUGUGCCUAUCCCAAUGGUUCAAUUUAACUAGACUAUAGUGUGCAUAUUCUGAGUUAUACAAUUUUUUUCAUAAUAAUUUAAAAAAAUUUUUUUAUGGAGUUAUCUAUUAAAAGCCUAAAGUGAUCAUUUCCAUACAAAAUCCUUGAUACAGCUCCAUUAUAUUUUUCAUACUAAAUUAACAUUAUAGCCUUCUAAUAAAUCCUUUCAUUAAGUGUGGAUGUUAUGAGCAAUAUUUGGCAAAAUAAAAUCUUUCACUGUGAAAUAUUCAUUAUUAAGUGUCAGACAAUAUUAAGUGUUUUCUGAACCUUAUGAUUUCAGUGAGAAACUAAAAGCUAAGUGAGAAACUAAAAAUCCCCAGACAAAGCUUAUGUGCCAUACAAAAAUCUGUGGUCACUAGGUGUGUUUUGUAUUUCAUAAUUGCCGUACAACUGGCUUCUCUUUUGUCUUUUAUGCUCAGAGGCACUCCACUAGAAGGUUGUCCGUUCCAUAGAAUGAAAAACAAAAGUCUAUACUAAUUUAAAUACAUAUCCUUCAUAAGGCAAUUCAAAUGAGUUGUUCCUGUGUGUGGAUUUGUAUGUACAAUUAGAAGAAUUUCAUGGUCAGUGAAGAGCAAAGGGAGAAAAUCAGAGAGGGUCGGGAGUCAAUGGAGAUGCUGAGACAGAAGGGGGUACAGAAAAGGCCUGCACAGCGCAAUAAGUAAAAUAGUCACAGACAAAGGCAGAGCAGUGCUGGGAAUUCCAGCUGAGAUGCUUACCGGUAAUAUUUCUAUUGGCUUCCAGGGGACGCUGGCAGCUCACAACGACAGCAUUUGGCUUCCCUUUUUGAUUUUUGACCUUCAAAUUUAUGGGAUCAAGUUCCAGGUCUGGGAGAUGAGACAGACAGACACAAGGCCUUAUUGUUGAAAUUGAAAGAAAACCGAUAUUCAUAGGACUUCUAGUCACAGUGUUAACAGAAUCUAUUAUGAAGUGUAUCUUGUUUAUUUUGCCAUUUACAAUUUAUUUCAAGGGUUUAUAUUAAAUAAGCAAAGAAUCAAAAAAUAAAAAAAAAAACAAUGAUUCCCCAUGGAAGUUAAGUGACUUCAUAAGAUAAUAAUAUAGAGAGAGAAGAGUAGAACUGGCUUUU